Bemisia tabaci is the source of this 457-nucleotide non-coding RNA. NCBI's taxonomy places the organism in Eukaryota, Metazoa, Arthropoda, Insecta, Hemiptera, Aleyrodidae. The record is from RefSeq and is a predicted model, not a curated record.
AAAUAAAGUAAUUAUUAAGUUUCUGAACUUGGCAGCUCCGAAGCAUUCCGAGCUCAUUUUCGGACGUUGAAGUUCAUGCAGAAAUAUGGGUUCAAGAACGCAUUUGCGGUGAAUUUCUUCCAUGGGGAAUGGGAACAAUGGGCACCAGGACCCGAGGAAGAAGCAGAAAUGCUUACCACACCAUCGCCACUUCCAACAACGACAAAAGGUUAUUGGGACUAAACUAGGCAUCGAUGAUGACACACAAGAGCCCCAAUGAACAACGUUUCCGACCUUUACAAUCAUCUUCAUCUUUGCCAACGCUGGAGUCUCUUUCAGCCACCGCCGUAUUGGUAUGGAAUUUCGAUGAUAGGCCGGUGAAUUUUCAGUUCAAAGAGCAAAACAGCUAGGAAAUAGAGAAAAUAAUAAAAUCAUUUUGAAAACAAAUAAAAUUUAAUAAAAAGCAUUUAAAAGACAA